RNAcentral lists this ribosomal RNA (524 nucleotides) under uncultured bacterium. Its description in RNAcentral is "partial 16S ribosomal RNA". It matches the Rfam family "Bacterial small subunit ribosomal RNA", at positions 28 to 523 of the family's 1533-position model. The record is from RNAcentral.
GACGAACGCUGGCGGCGUGCCUAAUACAUGCAAGUCGAACGCUUCUUUUUCCACCGGAGCUUGCUCCACCGGAAAAAGAGGAGUGGCGAACGGGUGAGUAACACGUGGGUAACCUGCCCAUCAGAAGGGGAUAACACUUGGAAACAGGUGCUAAUACCGUAUAACAAUCGAAACCGCAUGGUUUUGAUUUGAAAGGCGCUUUCGGGUGUCGCUGAUGGAUGGACCCGCGGUGCAUUAGCUAGUUGGUGAGGUAACGGCUCACCAAGGCCACGAUGCAUAGCCGACCGGAGAGGGUGAUCGGCCACAUUGGGACUGAGACACGGCCCAAACUCCUACGGGAGGCAGCAGUAGGGAAUCUUCGGCAAUGGACGAAAGUCUGACCGAGCAACGCCGCGUUAGUGAAGAAGGUUUUCGGAUCGUAAAACUCUGUUGUUAGAGAAGAACAAGGAUGAGAGUAACUGUUCAUCCCUUGACGGUAUCUAACCAGAAAGCCACGGCUAACUACGUGCCAGCAGCCGCGGUAA